AACGAACGCUGGCGGCAGGCUUAACACAUGCAAGUCGAACGGACCCUUCGGGGUUAGUGGCAGACGGGUGAGUAACGCGUGGGAACCUACCUAUAAGUACGGAACAACACAGAGAAAUUUGUGCUAAUACCGUAUGUGCUCUUUUGAGUAAAGAUUUAUCGCUUAUAGAUGGGCCCGCGUUAGAUUAGCUAGUUGGUGAGGUAACGGCUCACCAAGGCGACGAUCUAUAGCUGGUCUGAGAGGAUGAUCAGCCACACUGGGACUGAGACACGGCCCAGACUCCUACGGGAGGCAGCAGUGAGGAAUAUUGGACAAUGGGGGCAACCCUGAUCCAGCCAUGCCGCGUGAGUGAUGACGGCCUUAGGGUUGUAAAGCUCUUUCAGUAGUGAAGAUAAUGACGGUAACUACAGAAGAAGCCCCGGCUAACUUCGUGCCAGCCGCCGCAGUAACAC
Molecule: ribosomal RNA, 452 nt
Filed under: uncultured bacterium
Lineage: Bacteria
Description: bacterial SSU rRNA
Rfam family: Bacterial small subunit ribosomal RNA
Source: RNAcentral